AUUCCAGCUCCAAUAGCGUAUAUUAAAGUUGUUGCAGUUAAAAAGCUCGUAGUUGGAUUUCUGAUAGGGAGCCGAUCACCACUGUUGUGAGUGUUAGGUACCUGUCAUCCUUCUGUUAACCCCUGCGGCAUUCAUUUGUCGUUGGGCGGACCAGAUACUUUACCUUGAGAAAAUUAGAGUGUUUCAGGCAGGCCUAGCCGGAAUACAUUAGCAUGGAAUAAUGGAAUAGGACUAUAGUCUCGUCGUUGGUUACGUGGACUGCAGUAAUGAUUAAUAGGGAUAGUUGGGGGCAUUAGUAUUUAUUAGCUAGAGGUGGAAUUCUCUAAUUUGAUAAAGACUAACUUAUGCGAAAGCAUUUGCCAAGGAUGUUUUCAUUG
RNAcentral lists this ribosomal RNA (377 nucleotides) under Strombidiidae sp. Its description in RNAcentral is "partial small subunit ribosomal RNA". It matches the Rfam family "Eukaryotic small subunit ribosomal RNA", at positions 582 to 975 of the family's 1831-position model. Lineage: Eukaryota; Ciliophora; Spirotrichea; Strombidiidae. The record is from RNAcentral.